This 1446-nucleotide long non-coding RNA is filed under the name Sinocyclocheilus grahami. Its description in RNAcentral is "lncRNA (ENSSGRG00000006414.1)". Lineage: Eukaryota; Metazoa; Chordata; Actinopteri; Cypriniformes; Cyprinidae. The record is from RNAcentral.
GUUCGCUCGAGAGUCGGACUCCGCUGGUCGUGCAAUGCGUGCAGUUUUGAUCCACCUAAAGGAACCGACUCAUACGAGUCAUUCGCUCAGGAUUCGAUCACACGCGUGAUCUGACAAAGAACCUGGCCCCAGUUCCCAACGCUAGCUAGCUUACAAAACAAAGUCGCUUAGUUUGUUAGAAAUAGUACACAUUUUAAGUCGUAGUCUUUAUAUUACCCCAAGACAAGUUAAGAAAUAAUGGAUAUAAGAACACAUUCCUCCUAUUAAGCUGCAUAUUAAGCCAUUUUCUUCCGAUAUAAAAGUUUUAAUACCUGUAUCACAAUAUACACAAAGUCUGCAUGUAACUGAAUGAUUGUUUGGCCCCAAAUCUAUAAAUAAGCGUUCUUCUCGUCCAUGAGGCAGCAGCUAUUUUGGGUCUGGGGAUUUUGAGCAGUGUUUAGGGGUAGAGGAGCCAGGCGGACGAGACGGACACAGAUCGCUUCAGACCGUUCAGAUCACAGCGGUUUCACUGCGUUUUCUCGAGUGUUUGUCAACAACACAACGACGCACAGACGUCUACUAGCGUUUGAUGAAAACAAUCUGAGGUGGAGGGAGUGAUCAUGAAGUCCACUCCUUCUCCUCCUCCAGUGUUUGUUCGUGUCAGUGAGCGUGACCUGACAGAGAUCGAGCUCCAUUCCGUCGACUCCAUCAAUGACUUGCACCGCACACACACUGAACAGCACAGCAAAGGUGCUCCACCACCUCCUACCUCCAAUGGGACUCUUCAGAUGCAAGAUCGAGGAGUUGUCUAUCAAACAGGUCAACCAGUGAGAAGGCCCUGUGUGAGCAGACUGAAUGACAUAUGCACUUCCACUAGGCGGCACUAUUUUUUAGCAUGUGCAGCCAUUAUUGCGUUCCUCCUUACUCUCAUUCUUAUCUUCAGUUUUUUAGUCCAGCAGAGCAGUGCUCUCCACACACUUUUGGAGACGGUUAAACAGAAAAAGGAAACCGCUGAAGAAAUUUCCCAACUCUUACAAGAGCUGCAAAAGCUGCACAUCAACCUCACAGAGCAACGGCCAUAACAAAAAUAUUUCAACACAGACCCACAGGAAAAACAUUACUGCACUGUGACAACACUGAGAGAAGAGCACCGAUUCUUCACUUCAACACGUGUGAUUCUAUGUCUUAAAGGCUUCUAUCGCUUCGGUGGAAUCCAAUAUCCUGCUCAAAAACAUUCACUUAGCCUCCUGAUGUUUGUGCAUGCAGUGUAAAUGGAAAAUAAUGUAUUAAGUAAUGGACUUUUCACCAGUAUUUUUUCUACACUUAUAUGGUUACACACUAUUUGGCAACUUGCUAUAUUAGUUUCACUAAAGCAAAUGAUAAUACAAAACAACACUAAGAAAUAUGGAAAGAAUGUGAAUAAUCAUACCUGUUAUUAUAUUUUAAUUCAUUGUUAUCACUCCAACA